Molecule: ribosomal RNA, 451 nt
Filed under: uncultured bacterium
Lineage: Bacteria
Description: bacterial SSU rRNA
Rfam family: Bacterial small subunit ribosomal RNA
Source: RNAcentral
GUCCAGACUCCUACGGGAGGCAGCAGUGGGGAAUAUUGGGCAAUGGACGCAAGCCUGACCCAGCAACGCCGCGUGAAGGAAGAAGGCUCUCGGGUUGUAAACUUCUUUUAUCAGGGACGAAGCAAGUGACGGUACCUGAUGAAUAAGCCACGGCUAACUACGUGCCAGCAGCCGCGGUAAUACGUAGGUGGCAAGCGUUAUCCGGAUUUACUGGGUGUAAAGGGCGUGUAGCCGGGCUGACAAGUCAGAUGUGAAAUCCGGGGGCUCAACCCCCGAACUGCAUUUGAAACUGUUGGUCUUGAGUAUCGGAGAGGCAGGCGGAAUUCCUAGUGUAGCGGUGAAAUGCGUAGAUAUUAGGAGGAACACCAGUGGCGAAGGCGGCCUGCUGGACGACAACUGACGGUGAGGCGCGAAAGCGUGGGGAGCAAACAGGAUUAGAUACCCGAGUAAC